GAAGGUGGGGCGUGCGGAUGAGAUUUUUGAGAUAGAAAAGUAGGUGUGAGGAAGCUUUCUACAUGAAUUUAAAAAGUUCAAAAAUUUUAAGAGGAAAGAAUAAAAAGAGAGUGGGCACAGGGUUUUCUGUGUGUACCCUAGGAUUACUGCCUAAAAUUCGGGAAGUGAGAAAGUGAGCCACGAGUGUCGUGAGCCCACC
This 199-nucleotide long non-coding RNA is filed under the name Elaeis guineensis (African oil palm). RNAcentral describes it as "long non-coding RNA (EGUI_LNC027803)". The record is from RNAcentral. Lineage: Eukaryota; Viridiplantae; Streptophyta; Magnoliopsida; Arecales; Arecaceae.